UACGUAGGGCGCAAGCGUUAUCCGGAAUUAUUGGGCGUAAAGAGCUCGUAGGCGGUCUGUCACGUCGGUCGUGAAAACUUGGGGCUUAACCCUGAGCUUGCGGUCGAUACGGGCAUGACUUGAGUUCGGCAGGGGAGACUGGAAUUCCUGGUGUAGCGGUGAAAUGCGCAGAUAUCAGGAGGAACACCAGCGGCGAAGGCGGCGCUCUGGGCCGGUACUGACACUGAGGAGCGAAAGCGUGGGUAGCAAACAGG
RNAcentral lists this ribosomal RNA (254 nucleotides) under uncultured bacterium. RNAcentral describes it as "partial 16S ribosomal RNA". It matches the Rfam family "Bacterial small subunit ribosomal RNA", at positions 524 to 776 of the family's 1533-position model. The record is from RNAcentral.